This 240-nucleotide long non-coding RNA is filed under the name Elaeis guineensis (African oil palm). RNAcentral's name for it is "long non-coding RNA (EGUI_LNC032606)". The record is from RNAcentral. Lineage: Eukaryota; Viridiplantae; Streptophyta; Magnoliopsida; Arecales; Arecaceae.
GGGUGUUGAGAGGAUGGAUCCGAGAGUAUGUAAGCAUUACGAGUAUUCUUCACCUAUUCGAUGGACGCCAAUAAAUAGCAUAGUAAUAUGACGAUAAGAUUUGGUGAGGAUAAACUCUGGGUUCCAUGGGGUCGUUUUUCUGCCUUUCAUCGAUCAAACAUAAGCAUCCCAAUGAUGAGGCAUGAAUUAUGGCCAGAUGUAUAGUAUGUCGGUGCCUGAACUAUUAUUCUAAACUCGAUC